This 617-nucleotide unclassified non-coding RNA is filed under the name Leishmania donovani. RNAcentral's name for it is "gene:unknown". The record is from RNAcentral. Lineage: Eukaryota; Euglenozoa; Kinetoplastea; Trypanosomatida; Trypanosomatidae.
AGCCCAAUCAUGAGCCCGCAGUUGAUUUCUUGUCCUUUCUUGUUUUUAUUAUCUGCGAGAGUUUCUCGUGCCUCGCUUGGCCGUGCGGCUGCCCUCGCUCUUACCUUUGCCGCUAACUGCGGCGCACGUUAGGUGAGAGCACGUCACAUUCGCGCGCGUACUGUGCAUGAUGGAACGGUGUAGUACGUGCGCACACAUGUCUCUCUCUCUGCAUAUGGAUGCCUUCGCAGGCAUUGCCUUGCCGGCGUCGCCUCAUCUCCUCCCCCUUCCACAGCUGCGUGAGUGUCUUUAGCUGCUUUUAUUAUUCGUUUUCUACUUCUCUAUGCUGGUUGUUGCCAGUAUCAUAUAUAACGUUUUUCGUGGCCCUGUCUCCCCGCCGCCGCCGCCGCCGCCGCCGCUGACGCCCCCCGAACCCCUCUCUUCCCUUGUCUUGCUCUACAGCUCACGCGCCCAGCUUCCCUCGCUGGGUGUGUGCGUGUCUCUCUGUCCGUCUGCCGGUGCCGCUGAUGCUUCCAAAACGGCCGCUUCUUCUUUUCCUCCUCUUCCUCAAUGUUCAUCCGUUGGUCUCCUCACCUCCUGAUGAUGCGGGGACCACCUCCAUGCGUCGUCUCAUACAG